RNAcentral lists this ribosomal RNA (538 nucleotides) under Vibrio crassostreae. RNAcentral's name for it is "bacterial SSU rRNA". It matches the Rfam family "Bacterial small subunit ribosomal RNA", at positions 458 to 995 of the family's 1533-position model. Lineage: Bacteria; Pseudomonadati; Pseudomonadota; Gammaproteobacteria; Vibrionales; Vibrionaceae. The record is from RNAcentral.
AGCGCUAUCUCUUGACGUUAGCAACAGAAGAAGCACCGGCUAACUCCGUGCCAGCAGCCGCGGUAAUACGGAGGGUGCGAGCGUUAAUCGGAAUUACUGGGCGUAAAGCGCAUGCAGGUGGUUCAUUAAGUCAGAUGUGAAAGCCCGGGGCUCAACCUCGGAACUGCAUUUGAAACUGGUGAACUAGAGUACUGUAGAGGGGGGUAGAAUUUCAGGUGUAGCGGUGAAAUGCGUAGAGAUCUGAAGGAAUACCAGUGGCGAAGGCGGCCCCCUGGACAGAUACUGACACUCAGAUGCGAAAGCGUGGGGAGCAAACAGGAUUAGAUACCCUGGUAGUCCACGCCGUAAACGAUGUCUACUUGGAGGUUGUGGCCUUGAGCCGUGGCUUUCGGAGCUAACGCGUUAAGUAGACCGCCUGGGGAGUACGGUCGCAAGAUUAAAACUCAAAUGAAUUGACGGGGGCCCGCACAAGCGGUGGAGCAUGUGGUUUAAUUCGAUGCAACGCGAAGAACCUUACCUACUCUUGACAUCCAGAGAA